This 1036-nucleotide ribosomal RNA is filed under the name uncultured bacterium. Its description in RNAcentral is "bacterial SSU rRNA". It matches the Rfam family "Bacterial small subunit ribosomal RNA", at positions 8 to 1030 of the family's 1533-position model. The record is from RNAcentral.
AGAGUUUGAUCAUGGCUCAGGAUGAACGCUAGCGGCAGGCUUAAUACAUGCAAGUCGAGGGGCAUCAAGGUACACGAAAGUGUAUUGUUGGCGACCGGCGGACGGGUGAGUAAUAGGUAGGUAACCUACCUCAUACUGAGGCAUAGCUGGGAGAAAUUCCAGGUAAUUCCUCAUGAGGUUAUAUGACACAUGUGAUAUAAUCAAAGGUAUCGCAAGGUACUGGUAUGAGAUGGGCUUACUGACCAUUAGCUAGUUGGUGAGAUAAGAGCUCACCAAGGCGAAGAUGGUUAGGGGUUUUGAGAGAGAGAUCCCCCACAUUGGAACUGAGAUACGGUCCAGACUCCUACGGGAGGCAGCAGUAGGGAAUAUUGGGCAAUGGGCGGAAGCCUGACCUAGCCAUGCCGCGUGAAGGAAGACGGCCUUAUGGGUUGUAAACUUCUUUACUAUGCGACUAACUAGAUUUACGAGAUAAUUCUAUAGAAUGUAGCAUAGCAAAAAGCACCGGCUAACUCCGUGCCAGCAGCCGCGGUAAUACGGAGGGUGCGAGCGUUAUUCGGAAUUACUGGGUUUAAAGGGUGCGUAGGCGGCUAAGUAAGUUGUCAUUGAAAGGCUACAGCUCAACUGUAGUAGUGGUGGCGAUACUGCUUAGCUAAGAACAUGGGAGGGGUACUUGGAAUGUGUGGUGUAGCGGUGAAAUGCGUAGAUAUCACACAGAACACCAGAGGCGAAGGCGGAGUACUAGACCAUAGUUGACGCUGAGGCACGAAAGCGUGGGGAUCAAACAGGAUUAGAUACCCUGNUAGUCCACGCCCUAAACGAUGAUCACUAGAUAUUGGCGACAAACAGUCAGUGUCCAAGCGAAAGUGAUAAGUGAUCCACCUGGGGACUACGGCCGCAAGGUUAAAACUCAAAGGAAUUGACGGGGGCCCGCACAAGCGGAGGAGCAUGUNNNUUANCCGAUGGNACGCGAGGAACCUUACCUGGNUAGAACGUAUGAGCGAUGCAGCUGAAAGGUUGCAGGCCUGCGAAGGAGUUC